This 403-nucleotide ribosomal RNA is filed under the name Verrucomicrobiota bacterium. Its description in RNAcentral is "Verrucomicrobia bacterium partial 16S ribosomal RNA". It matches the Rfam family "Bacterial small subunit ribosomal RNA", at positions 355 to 776 of the family's 1533-position model. The record is from RNAcentral. Lineage: Bacteria; Pseudomonadati; Verrucomicrobiota.
UGGGGAAUAUUGCACAAUGGGCGCAAGCCUGAUGCAGCAACGCCGCGUGAACGAUGAAGGUCUUCGGAUCGUAAAGUUCUGUUGCAGGGGAAGAUAAUGACGGUACCCUGUGGGGAAGCCCCGGGUAACUACGUGCCAGCAGCCGCGGUAAUACGUAGGGGGCUAGCGUUAUCCGGAUUUACUGGGCGUAAAGGGUGCGUAGGUGGUCUUUCAAGUCGGUGGUUAAAGGCUACGGCCCAACCGUAGUUAGCCUCCGAAACUGGAAGACUUGAGUGCAGGAGAGGAAAGCGGAAUUCCCAGUGUAGCGGUGAAAUGCGUAGAUAUUGGGAGAAACACCAGUAGCGAAGGCGGCUUUCUGGACUGCAACUGACACUGAGGCCCGAAAGCGUGGGUAGCAAACAGG